GACGAACGCUGGCGGCGUGCCUAAUACAUGCAAGUAGAACGCUGAAGAGAAGAGCUUGCUCUUCUUGGAUGAGUUGCGAACGGGUGAGUAACGCGUAGGUAACCUGCCUGGUAGCGGGGGAUAACUAUUGGAAACGAUAGCUAAUACCGCAUAAAAUUGAUUAUUGCAUGAUAAUUAAUUGAAAGAUGCAAUUGCAUCACUACCAGAUGGACCUGCGUUGUAUUAGCUAGUUGGUGAGGUAACGGCUCACCAAGGCGACGAUACAUAGCCGACCUGAGAGGGUGAUCGGCCACACUGGGACUGAGACACGGCCCAGACUCCUACGGGAGGCAGCAGUAGGGAAUCUUCGGCAAUGGGGGGAACCCUGACCGAGCAACGCCGCGUGAGUGAAGAAGGUUUUCGGAUCGUAAAGCUCUGUUGUAAGAGAAGAACGGGUGUGAGAGUGGAAAGUUCACACUGUGACGGUAUCUUACCAGAAAGGGACGGCUAACUACGUGCCAGCAGCCGCGGUAAUACGUAGGUCCCGAGCGUUGUCCGGAUUUUAUGGGCGUAAAGCGAGCGCAGGCCGUUAGAUAAGUCUGAAGUUAAGGCUGUGGCUUAACCCUAGUAUGCUUUGGAAACUGUUUAACUUGAGUGCAGAAGGGGAGAGUGGAAUUCCAUGUGUAGCGGUGAAAUGCGUAGAUAUAUGGAGGAACACCGGUGGCGAAAGCGGCUCUCUGGUCUGUAACUGACGCUGAGGCUCGAAAGCGUGGGGAGCAGACAGGAUUAGAUACCCUGGUAGUCCACGCCGUAAACGAUGAGUGCUAGGUGUUAGGCCCUUUCCGGGGCUUAGUGCCGCAGCUAACGCAUUAAGCACUCCGCCUGGGGAGUACGACCGCAAGGUUGAAACUCAAAGGAAUUGACGGGGGCCCGCACAAGCGGUGGAGCAUGUGGUUUAAUUCGAAGCAACGCGAAGAACCUUACCAGGUCUUGACAUCCCUCUGACCGCUCUAGAGAUAGACUUUUCCUUCGGGACAGAGGUGACAGGUGGUGCAUGGUUGUCGUCAGCUCGUGUCGUGAGAUGUUGGGUUAAGUCCCGCAACGAGCGCAACCCCUAUUGUUAGUUGCCAUCAUUCAGUUGGGCACUCUAGCGAGACUGCCGGUAAUAAACCGGAGGAAGGUGGGGAUGACGUCAAAUCAUCAUGCCCCUUAUGACCUGGGCUACACACGUGCUACAAUGGCUGGUACAACGAGUCGCAAGCCGGUGACGGCAAGCUAAUCUCUGAAAGCCAGUCUCAGUUCGGAUUGUAGGCUGCAACUCGCCUACAGGAAGUCGGAAUCGCUAGUAAUCGCGGAUCAGCACGCCGCGGAGGGGACGUUCCCGGGCCU
This 1368-nucleotide ribosomal RNA is filed under the name uncultured bacterium. RNAcentral's name for it is "bacterial SSU rRNA". It matches the Rfam family "Bacterial small subunit ribosomal RNA", at positions 28 to 1381 of the family's 1533-position model. The record is from RNAcentral.